UGGGGGGAACCCUGAUCCAGCCAUGCCGCGUGUGUGAAGAAGGCCUUUUGGUUGUAAAGCACUUUAAGCGAGGAGGAGGCUACUCUAGUUAAUACCUAGGGAUAGUGGACGUUACUCGCAGAAUAAGCACCGGCUAACUCUGUGCCAGCAGCCGCGGUAAUACAGAGGGUGCAAGCGUUAAUCGGAUUUACUGGGCGUAAAGCGCGCGUAGGUGGCCAAUUAAGUCAAAUGUGAAAUCCCCGAGCUUAACUUGGGAAUUGCAUUCGAUACUGGUUGGCUAGAGUAUGGGAGAGGAUGGUAGAAUUCCAGGUGUAGCGGUGAAAUGCGUAGAGAUCUGGAGGAAUACCGAUGGCGAAGGCAGCCAUCUGGCCUAAUACUGACACUGAGGUGCGAAAGCAUGGGGAGCAAACAGGAUUAGAUACCCUGGUAGUCCAUGCCGUAAACGAUGUCUACUAGCCGUUGGGGCCUUUGAGGCUUUAGUGGCGCAGCUAACGCGAUAAGUAGACCGCCUGGGGAGUACGGUCGCAAGACUAGAACUCAAAUGA
This 545-nucleotide ribosomal RNA is filed under the name bacterium T-1-0-4A. Its description in RNAcentral is "bacterial SSU rRNA". It matches the Rfam family "Bacterial small subunit ribosomal RNA", at positions 372 to 908 of the family's 1533-position model. The record is from RNAcentral.